Molecule: ribosomal RNA, 253 nt
Filed under: uncultured bacterium
Lineage: Bacteria
Description: partial 16S ribosomal RNA
Rfam family: Bacterial small subunit ribosomal RNA
Source: RNAcentral
GACAGAGGGUGCAAACGUUGUUCGGAAUUACUGGGCGUAAAGCGUGUGUAGGCGGCCAUAUAAGUCGGAUGUGAAAGCCCUGGGCUCAACCCAGGAAGUGCACUCGAUACUGUAUGGCUUGAGUACUGGAGAGGUUGGUGGAAUUCUCGGUGUAGAGGUGAAAUUCGUAGAUAUCGGGAGGAACACCGGUGGCGAAGGCGGCCUUCUGGACGGAUACUGACGCUGAGACGCGAAAGCGUGGGGAGCAAACAGG